RNAcentral lists this ribosomal RNA (253 nucleotides) under uncultured bacterium. RNAcentral's name for it is "partial 16S ribosomal RNA". It matches the Rfam family "Bacterial small subunit ribosomal RNA", at positions 524 to 776 of the family's 1533-position model. The record is from RNAcentral.
UACGGGGGGGGCAAGCGUUGUUCGGAAUUACUGGGCGUAAAGGGCUCGUAGGUGGCCAACUAAGUCGGACGUGAAAUCCCUCGGCUUAACCGGGGAACUGCGUCUGAUACUGGAUGGCUUGAGUUCGGGAGAGGGAUGCGGAAUUCCAGGUGUAGCGGUGAAAUGCGUAGAUAUCUGGAGGAACACCGGUGGCGAAGGCGGCAUCCUGGACCGACACUGACGCUGAGGAGCGAAAGCUAGGGGAGCGAACAGG